RNAcentral lists this unclassified non-coding RNA (672 nucleotides) under Lithocarpus skanianus. RNAcentral's name for it is "partial contains small subunit ribosomal RNA, internal transcribed spacer 1, 5.8S ribosomal RNA, internal transcribed spacer 2, and large subunit ribosomal RNA". The stretch from base 261 to 416 matches the Rfam family "5.8S ribosomal RNA". Lineage: Eukaryota; Viridiplantae; Streptophyta; Magnoliopsida; Fagales; Fagaceae. The record is from RNAcentral.
UUAUCAUUUAGAGGAAGGAGAAGUCGUAACAAGGUUUUCGUAAGUGAACCUGCAGAAGGAUCAUUGUCGAAACCUGCACAGUUGAACAACUCACGAACUAGUGACAACCGACUGGGGGUGGGGGGCAGGGACCUCGCAUCCCUGCACAUAAACAGAACCCCAGUGCGGAAUGCGCCAAGGAAAUCAAACCAAGAGAGCCACGCCGGAGGCCCCGGACACGGUGUGCCCCCAGCAUCGACGUCUUAUGAAUUAUCCAAAACGACUCUCGACAAGGGAUAUCUAGGCUCUCGCAUCAAUGAAGAAUGUAGGGAAAUGUGAUACUUGGUGUGAAUUGCAGAAUCCAGCGAAUCAUCGAGUUUUUAAACGCAUGUUGUGCUUAAAGCCAUUCGGCCAAGGGCACGUCUACUUGGGUGUCAUGCAUUGUCGCCCACUAAACUCUAGUUCGGGCAAGGCGGAAGUUGGUUUCCCAUGAGUUCUUGUGUGCGCAGUUAGCCCAAAAGCAAGUCCUUGGCGACGAGCACCACGACAAUCAGUGGUUUUUCGACCUUCGUUCCCUGUCGUGCGCACCCCGUCGCCGGAAUACGCUUUCAAGACCCUCACACGUCGCCUCGGCGGCUCUCCCAACGUAACCCUAGGUUAGGCAAGACUACACACUGAGUUUAAGCAUAUCAA